Molecule: ribosomal RNA, 253 nt
Filed under: uncultured bacterium
Lineage: Bacteria
Description: partial 16S ribosomal RNA
Rfam family: Bacterial small subunit ribosomal RNA
Source: RNAcentral
UACGGGGGGGGCAAGCGUUGUUCGGAAUUACUGGGCGUAAAGGGCUCGUAGGCGGCCAACUAAGUCAGACGUGAAAUCCCUCGGCUUAACCGGGGAACUGCAUCUGAUACUGGAUGGCUUGAGUUCGGGAGAGGGAUGUGGAAUUCCUGGUGUAGCGGUGAAAUGCGCAGAUAUCAGGAAGAACACCAAUGGCGAAAGCAGCUCUCUGGGACGGUACUGACGCUGAGACGCGAAAGCGUGGGGAGCAAACAGG